CUUGGAUAAUGAACUAAAAAUUCAGUCUUGUGAAUUUUAAGUCUGUACCUUUAACAUGAAAUUCACUUAAACUGUUGUGAAGAGUGUUGGAGGCAGAGGGAAGAGAAAGGAACAUCUGAGCUCCAAUCCUGUUUUUCAGAGAGACACAUCAGCACAUAGGUCUGUUCAUGCCAAAGUGAACUUGACACCUUUUCCUCUGGCCUGAGGUUGCAUGGUAGAUGAUGUUCUGCAAGAUCUAACUCUUCAAGAUGGAACCCUGAGUCUGAGCUCUUCUUGUGUAUGGACAGUUCACAAUGAUUGUGUGAACACAACUGAUGAAUGUGUACCUAACAAAGGUCUCCAGUGUCAUUAUCAUACAUGGAGAGAUCACCAAAGCAGAAAAGAACUUGCAACUUAUGUUCUUGUGAAUGAGAGGAGCAAACAAAGAGGUGAGUGGUCUGACUGAUGUCAUGAAGUUUUGCAGAUCCUGUGUAGGGAUAUCCUUGGAUCUCAUGCUGGUUCUCAUGGUAUCCUUUGAUUUAGAGCUUACUCCUGUGCAGAUCCCUUAGUUACAAUGUGAGGUCAGAAUAUGAUCCUUUGCAGAUAGAUCAG
Molecule: long non-coding RNA, 591 nt
Filed under: Cyanistes caeruleus (blue tit)
Lineage: Eukaryota; Metazoa; Chordata; Aves; Passeriformes; Paridae
Description: lncRNA (ENSCCEG00000021307.1)
Source: RNAcentral